GACGAGGGAUCCUAGCGUUGUUCGGAAUCAUUGGGCGUAAAGCGGGUGUAGGUGGCUUUGUAAGUCAGAUGUGAAAGCCCAGGGCUCAACCCUGGAAGUGCAUUUGAUACUGCGAAGCUUGAGUGCUAGAGAGGUUACUAGAAUUGUUGGUGUAGUGGUGAAAUACGUAGAUAUCAACAGGAAUACCGGUGGCGAAGGCGGGUAACUGGCUAGACACUGACACUCAGACCCGAAAGUGCGGGGAUCAAACAGG
RNAcentral lists this ribosomal RNA (253 nucleotides) under uncultured bacterium. Its description in RNAcentral is "partial 16S ribosomal RNA". It matches the Rfam family "Bacterial small subunit ribosomal RNA", at positions 524 to 776 of the family's 1533-position model. The record is from RNAcentral.